AUUGUAAACCUUUAUUAGUGGUCAGGCUUCUGUAAAUGAAAGUUUGAAUAUAAUAUUGUAAAACCUUUAUUAGUGGUCAGGCUUCUAUAAAUGAAAGUUUGAAUAUUAUUUUUCCAAAGUGGGUCAAUGAUCCUGUAACUGCUGGAAACACAAGUGUUUAUGGUAUUGUACACGUGUUUAAAGCAGCUGCAGUACAUGUGUUUCCAGCAGUUACCAGGAUCACUGACCCAAGUGUUUAGAGCAGCUGCAGUACAUGGGUCAAUGAUCCUGUAACUUCUGGAAACACAAGUCUUUAUGGUAUUGUACACGUGUUAAAAGCAGCUGCAGUACAUGUGUUUCCAGCAGUUAUAGGAUCACUGACCCAAGUGUUUGGAGCAGCUGCAGUACAUGGGUCGAUGAUCCUGUAACUGCUGGAAACACAAGUGGUUUAUUAUACUGAUGAAGUUGAAGAAGCUUAGGUAUGUUUGUUCACUGUUUUAACAGCUGAUUGAUGCACUGACUACAGUAAAGUCUAUCAACAGAACCGAUGCCAUGACUCUGCUGAGUAUAUUUGGGUCUCUCGAGAAGAUUGUUGAGGCUAGUGAAAAUGAGUUGAGUUUGUGCCCUGGUAUUGGCCCACAAAAGGCAGCAAGACUUCACAGUGUUCUUCAUCAGCCGUUUUUAAAAGCGAACCUCAAGUCUUAGUGACAACGUGUGUAAAUUAAGGAUGUAACAUAUUAUAUGGAGUAAUAAAAUUGGUCGAGGUCCCAUCUUCUACACUA
Long non-coding RNA from Limulus polyphemus (Atlantic horseshoe crab), 761 nucleotides. RefSeq lists it as uncharacterized. The transcript has 3 exons. Lineage: Eukaryota; Metazoa; Arthropoda; Merostomata; Xiphosura; Limulidae. The record is from RefSeq and is a predicted model, not a curated record.